Olea europaea var. sylvestris is the source of this 1110-nucleotide long non-coding RNA. RefSeq lists it as uncharacterized. Lineage: Eukaryota; Viridiplantae; Streptophyta; Magnoliopsida; Lamiales; Oleaceae. The transcript has 3 exons. The record is from RefSeq and is a predicted model, not a curated record.
AUAGGGUUGUCAUGAGUUAUGGAUUUUUUUAGCUGGCAGGAAAAGAUAGUCCCUACUAAAUGCACUAAUUUGUCAGCGUCUCUACCAAAAUUCUGAUUAUUCAUACUGUGUUUUCUAGCAAUCUUGUUUCCCAAUAUGGCUGAUUCCAAUUCCUUAAGAUACUGUUCAGAAUUUUCUUUUAAUUGUCUGUGCUAUUUGAUGCAUACAGUUAGGUCGGUUGUGGGGUUCUAUUAACGCUUUUGUGAGUUUAUUUGGCGAUGAUCAAACUUAAUGGAUUUCAGGACAAAUAUGAAGUAACUCUUGUAAUAAAGAUGUAUUUAUUUCAUUUUUCUGUUAUGCCAGGUCACCAAGUGUAAGCAUGAGUUUCAUUUACAGUGUAUCCUUGAAUGGUCACAGAGAAGCAAAGAAUGUCCAAUGUGUUGGCAGCUUCUUGUCUUAAAGGAUCCUUUGAGCCAAGAGUUGUUAGCUCCAGUCGAGAACGAGAGGAAUUUGAGGUCUAUGCAUAAUGUUCAUCACAUCCAUGAGAACAUUGAAGUCAAUCAUGUGAGUCAUAGAAACCAACUUAAAACUUGUUCAAUGAUCUUUUCGAAGCUGGGUUAAAAGCACUGCUGUCAGCCAACUUACAACAUUCUUUCACUUUAGCACUGAACUGUCUUCUUUUCCAAGGUAGUCACUCAAUUUUCAUUUUUGUCUCAUUUUGGGUAAUUCUACUGAACUAAAGUGCAUGGUAAUGGCAAUGAUGAUAUGGCCUGGAAAGUACGUUAGUGCAUAAUUUUUAUUAUUGUCUAGCUAGGCAAAAAAUUGUAUUGUUGAACAAGCCGUGCUUUUCAAAUGCUCUUUUAUGAAGAAACAAAACAAGGAAAGAAGGGGGAAAAGGAGUGGUUUCUAACAACACACCUUUUUGCCUAGUUCGGCAACAAAAAAAAUGCACCUGUGAAUUUUCAUGCCACAUCAUCUUUUGUGUUAAUCCAACAAACAUGAGUAGAAAAGUGCCUAAAUGGAAACAAAAUGAAAGUUGAAUGCCUAACAAAAAAAGGUUUGAUGUCUAACAUGAAACACUAUUUGUUCAGUGACUAGCAGUGUUUUUCACCCUUUCAAAGUUAAUUUUUC